GAACGCCCAUGCAUUUCGUCAGACAAUUAUAAAUUAUACAUAGAACCACUCCUCAAACCAUUUCCAUGUUACCGCUUUUGCGAUUGCAGUAUUACCAGUGUCGAUACUAUUGCAUUAUUUUAGCGCUAAGGCCAGUUACCCUUGUGCUUCAAUGCAUAAAACAGCGUUUUCCUCAAAAAGGUAACUGGAACGCCCAUGCAUUUCGUCAGACACUUAUAAAUUAUACAUAGAACCACUCCUCAAACCAUUUCCAUGUUACCGCUUUUGCGAUUGCAGUAUUACCAGUGUCGAUACUAUUGCAUUAUUUUAGCGCUAAGGCCAGUUACCCUUGUGCUUCAAUGCAUAAAACAGCGUUUUCCUCAAAAAGGUAACUGGAACGCCCAUGCAUUUCGUCAGACACUUAUAAAUUAUACAUAGAACCACUCCUCAAACCAUUUCCAUGUUACCGCUUUUGCGAUUGCAGUAUUACCAGUGUCGAUACUAUUGCAUUAUUUUAGCGCUAAGGCCAGUUACCCUUGUGCUUCAAUGCAUAAAACAGCGUUUUCCUCAAAAAGUUAACUGGAACGCCCAUGCAUUUCGUCGGACACUUAUAAAUUAUACAUAGAACCACUCCUCAAACCAUUUCCAUGUUACCGCUUUUGCGAUUGCAGUAUUACCAGUGUCGAUACUAUUGCAUUAUUUUAGCGCUAAGGCCAGUUACCCUUGUGCUUCAAUGCAUAAAACAGCGUUUUCCUCAAAAAGUUAACUGGAACGCCCAUGCAUUUCGUUGGACACAUUGAAAAUUAAUAUCUCGAAACUGGUUCAGUCCUGAUAAUUCGUUCCAAGUGAAUACGCCUUGAGAACUCAGCGGCUAUAAUUCGUAGAUUGAAAGAUGCGCAGUAAAAUAAUUUAUUAAAAAGUUAAUUAGCGUAAUUAUGUUAAAUAUUCAAUUAGGCGCUCUGACCAUUCAUUAGGUCAUCCAUGUCAGAAUUAGCUUGGAACUACUAAAACUACUAGCCUCCUUAGAGCGUCGUCGCAUUAAUGCGAACACAAGAAAUCCUGAGAUAUGGUCUAUUCCAUACUUCAGCACACUCUAUAAGCAUCAGUCGUUAAUACAUAACCUACCAUUCACUUUGAACAAAUAAAAAAAUGUCGAUAAUUUCAGUAAGAAAGAACUCAGCUACUACUUUGUUCGCUUGUAAUGUAUCUGAUGUGAUUAUUAUUCCGUCUUUGUGGAUGGUUCUGAGUAUGUAAUGUACAUCCUGUUUCGUUUUCUUACGAAAUGUUAAUCUUGUAAAAUUCAGUCUCAUGCUAUGUUGUAUAGCUGGUGUUGCAUUGUUUUGUAUAGCUAGUAUUGUUAUUGUAGUGUUGUUUAAAAUGCAUUCUGUUAAAACUUUUUCCGAUUCUGUUAACUCGCCGUGACGGAAAUAUUUUUUGUCUUUCCGUUCAUAGCUAUUUCUUCUAUGAGGAAUACCAGCGAGAGCUGGAAAUAUAUGGGAAUUAUUGUGCAUGUGCGCACACUGUUUGCUGUACUAUUGCCUUGCCUGGUCUUUUGGGUCACGUCAAGCUACAUAUGUAGCUUUUAGUCCAAAAUGACCGUCCAGAAUGUAAACUAAAGAAUAAAUUGAUUUGAUCUGAUUGAUUUCGUUGGACACUUUGAAAAUUAAUAUCUCGAAACUGGUUCAGUCCUGAGAAUUCGUUCCAAGUGCAUAUGCCUUGCGAACUCGGCGGCGAUAAUUCGUAGAUUGAAAGAUGUACCGUAAAAUAAUUAAUUUAAAAGUUAAUUAGCGUAAUUAUGUUGAUUCUUCAAUUAGGCGUUUUGAUUUCUCUUGGAAGUAAUGGCCGCCUCAUCGAGUAGUUUAGAUCAAGGAUUAUAAUUGUGCUAUCUGCCACAGGCAAUCUUUAAAAUUUUGGUUUAGCUAAAAUGAAACACCCUGUAUAUUUCCAUGCUAAAUGACAUCAUAGAACGAUAUCGUACAAAUCAAGGUGAGUGCUUGCGCACCAGCGGGAAAAUAGCUGCACAGGCAAUUGGCCGGAUUACUGAUGUUUCCGUGGGAAAAACAAAGACUUCGGCCUUUUAUUGCUUAUAUACUGCCGCUGAUUAAACCUCGAGAAGGUGAGGCUGACAGAUACGGUGCAAUCUGUAAGUAAACAAUAAAGAAUUUUUUUCCUACAGGCCGGGCCUGGUCAUGCACACGCGGGCCCUAGCUAAGCUUAGUAAUGAACGCCCGGGCUGGUCUCGGUCAUGUACGCCCGGGCCCGGGCCGGGCUCGGGCUUUGUAUUACGGGCCCGGGCUGAGCUCGGGCCUCGUAAAGCGGGCCCGGGCCGGGUUCGGGCCGAAAAAUCAGGCCCGUGCAGUGCUCUAAUAAGGGGUCUAACUUGUCCAGCUGGAGACGUUGUGUAACAUCGUACUCCAUAGAAAAGUGUCACUCUAAUACAUG
Long non-coding RNA from Dermacentor silvarum, 2421 nucleotides. RefSeq lists it as uncharacterized. Lineage: Eukaryota; Metazoa; Arthropoda; Arachnida; Ixodida; Ixodidae. The record is from RefSeq and is a predicted model, not a curated record. The transcript is spliced from 3 exons.